Non-coding RNA from Larimichthys crocea (large yellow croaker), 339 nucleotides. The record is from the annotation of a RefSeq genome assembly. Lineage: Eukaryota; Metazoa; Chordata; Actinopteri; Sciaenidae.
AUGCACCAGCGGUCACACUGGCCCCAUGGGCGCGGCCACGUGGCCCUGCCUACGGACACGGCUAACUCUCCUCAGGGAGCCGUGGUGAGCUGGGAGGUGGACGGCACAGAGGUGACAGAGGGGGUCGUGACCAGCUCAGAGGAGGAGAAGAGCGGAACGUUACAGCAGCAGCAGCACCCUGAGUCUGAGCCAGGAGAGCUGGAUGAAAGGAGAGCUGUACUCCUGCACGGUCCUCCAUCAUGACAACAGCCAGAUCCAGUCCCUCCGCAGGAGCCAGUGUGAGGGCUAGAGGGGCUGGCUGAAGCCCAGGACAGGAGCUCUGUGUUGGGGGAGCAGGAG